AGCAUGCUGGUUUAGUGGUUUGAGUAUUGGAUUAUGAUUCUGGAGACUAGGGUUUGAUUCCCAGCUCUGCCA
Molecule: non-coding RNA, 72 nt
Organism: Phrynosoma platyrhinos (Desert horned lizard)
Lineage: Eukaryota; Metazoa; Chordata; Lepidosauria; Squamata; Phrynosomatidae
Source: the annotation of a GenBank genome assembly